UACUGUCUGGUGUCACUUCAGACAAUUUUGCAACGGUUUACUGUAUGUUCUGUCUAUUUGUCUGCCAAACUCUCAAACUUGUUGUCUUUCUUUUUGUCUUCCUCUUUGGGCACCGGUAGGCACAGAGUCAUUCCGGUAGGCACAGAGUCGUUCCUCGAUGGACGUGAUGACCUGGCACCAAAACCGCUUAAUGUGUAUGAAGCUGUGUCUGCAUCGAGGGAAGAACCCAGCACUGAAAUGACACAAAUGAAAGAAGAGUACUUCUGCUCUGCUGGGUCUGCGACACUACUUAUCCGAGGAGUCCUCAAACAUCAGGAUGUUGGAAGACACAAGUAAAAGGAGAAGAAUGCUGCUCAGCUGGGUCGGCGGUCACACUACUUAUUCAAGAAGCUCUUGGAUAUCAUCGGCAUGUAUAAAGCACAGUCAUUCCGGUAGGAACGGAGUCGUUCCUCGAUGGACGUGAUGACCUGGCACCAAAACCGCUUAAUGUGUAUGAAGCUGUGUCUGCAUCGAGGGAAGAACCCAGCACUGAAAUGACACAAAUGAAAGAGGACGUCUUCUCUGCUGGGUCUGCGACACUACUUAUCCUAGGAAUCCUCAAACAUCAGGAUGUAGGAAGUAAGAUCUUUUUUAUGUCAUGCAUAACAGCCCAUGCGUGCACGCACACACACACACAUACAAAACAUGCACGUGCACACUCCACUCUACACCAAACACAGAUAAACACACACAACCUUAAAGGAAAAUCCCUACUAGUUUCAACAUCUAAUUAUAUUGUUCUCACUACCACUGGCUUGUCAGGACCCAACAGCCUCUUUUUUCCAGCCCUGUCCGUCAUCUCAUUCUAAUGAGUGCAUGAUCUGUUUACAUAUAAAACAGACAUAGCGUGUAGCACCCAAAAUGCACAUGCAGUCAAGUCAAAAAUAACAUAUAUAUAAUUUCCCUAAACCAUAUUUAUGAUGACUG
Molecule: long non-coding RNA, 966 nt
Organism: Engraulis encrasicolus (European anchovy)
Lineage: Eukaryota; Metazoa; Chordata; Actinopteri; Clupeiformes; Engraulidae
Exons: 5
Source: RefSeq, a predicted model, not a curated record